This 1273-nucleotide long non-coding RNA is filed under the name Fukomys damarensis (Damara mole-rat). Its description in RNAcentral is "lncRNA (ENSFDAG00000032617.1)". Lineage: Eukaryota; Metazoa; Chordata; Mammalia; Rodentia; Bathyergidae. The record is from RNAcentral.
GAGGAAGUGAGCUCAUAGAGCACGGCCCGGAUCCUGGGAUCCAGACAACUCCACUUCCUCUCACUUUGCUUUCUGGCCACCAUGGCCAACCUUAUCCACCACAUCCUCCCACCACGAUGGGCUUCCUCACCACAGCCCUGAAAGCAGCGGGGCCAAGUGACCAUGGAUGGGAGUCUCCGAAACUGUGGACCCGAUAAACUCUCCUCUGACCGACUGAACCAUCGCAGGUGUCCGUGACAGUUACAGAAAAGAGACUGACACGAUCAGCUCUGAUGAAGCAUUCCAAACUACCUCAUUCUUAUUUUGUUUUGAAAUCACGUGGCAAUUUUCACUCCGCACUGAGAUAUGGAUGACGUUGAAUUAUCACUUUGAAGAAAAUUGCUAAGAAGAAUUAUAUUUCAAUUAAAGAAGCCAAAUGAGGGAAACUCCAUAUCCUGUUCAAGAGGAGAAGCAGAAGAAAUGCUCUGGCCUUGCAGGAAUGGGAUCCUGGCUCUGUUUCCUUUUUCUUUUUUAGUUUGACAAAAUGUAUUGAUUAUUUUAGGAAAGACAUUCAUCUCAGUCAUUCCUCUCCUCAUCUUGACCUUAGAUUAGUAUUUUAUUUGGGUCAAGAUAAGAGCAUGUAGGACAGGGAUGCUAUUUCAACAAACAGCAAAAUGAACAAAAAUGAAUCGUUUGCCUACAUAAAAUACCUACGAUGUGCUUUUGAGAGGCCUGGCUCUGUUUCUCUGUGCUGGUGUCUGCUCAUCCGUUCUCCCCUCUGCGGAACUUACUACGCAUCGAGUGACUGUGUCAGGAGGAGGAAAUGGCACCCCAACCGGCAGACAGCACCUGCGAAGACCUCUGUGUGCCUUCGGAGCCCAGCCCAGGCCUGCUUUGGCCUCAGGAGGACGCCAGUGGUGUCUCAGGUCUCCAGGGUCACCGUGUGGCGUUAAUCAGCCUAGAGGAGGGGAAGAACACAGAAGCUACCCCUCCGCAUUCCAUCAGGUGUCCUUUGGCCACACCUCUGGCCACACCUCGUUGCAAAGGAGCUGGGAAAGGUAUUGCCUUUUGUCUCCGAGAAAAAUAAAACAGGUUUGGCAAAGACUCAGCUGGGCUCGGUGACGCCCUGGUUCUGGCCGGAUGGCACUGCCUAAGGAACCCCUUCAAAUGUGGCAGCUGAUGGUACGUGGGCAGCUGUCCAAGUUCAAAAUACAGCUAACUCCAGCACUGUAUUCGCAGCUUUGGCCUCUGCUGCCGUCCUGGGUCAGCAGGGGAAGCCCAGCUCAGAGUCUAG